CUGUGUUCGAGCACGUCUACAACGCUGUGAGCAGCAGCAGCAGCAGCAUGUGACACACCGAGAAACUUGGUUUGGACAGGCGCCUGCUCCGCCAGAAAUGCGAGCAAGGCACGGAGGGUGUUUCAGUAGUGCGCAGAGCGUGCUGGGAGCUUUGGUAGCGCGCUUCCGACCGCGUAGCAUGCUGGUGUCUCGCAGCCGCUUUAAGCUGACCAAGCUCGAAUCAUGCUUUGAUCUUCAAUCUUCGGAUAUGGGUACUUGAGAUUCAGAACCCGGACGACGAGAUAUGCGCUUUGUUUAAGGAUUUAGCUCGUGAUACCUGAGAGAAAUUGCACCGCACUGCGUCGACGGUAUCAAUGCGCUUUGCCUGUUGCAACGCAGCGACAAGGACGCUCUUGUUGGAAUGAAACGGACCGCAUUCACAUAGACUCCUCGUGCGUGUGCGAUAAAGUUCGGGUCGGGUUCCGUUGUCGUUGGAACUAGCCUCUGCGUACUUUCAAGGCGACAGCUCGCUAUUCCUCUCUAUCUCUUAUCUCCGGGAUUUACUGACGCCGGGCUCACGCUUCGGCUCCGUUUUUCGCAGUCCAAGCGUGUCGAUGGCAGCGUUUACCUAUCGAUUCCGCGGCUUCUAGUUGCUGCCCACGUAUCUGACGCAGAGCCGGUGGGUGCGAUCUAUGCUUCGCUUGCCAUCUUCAUCUUCAUUGAAUAAGGGUUUCGUGCGCCCUUUCGAGCAUUGCCUCUUGAUCGUGGUAAGAUGUUGCCGUCCGUCCAGCGUACGCUCUCUUCGGCGCAGCGCCCGGGGGCGCGCGAACGAUUUCUUCACCGCUCGGUACGUUCUUUUGACGAGUACACACAGGGCUCCGCCCGAUGCCCUGCUUCGUGUCGUGUGCCGGAUGCCCUGCAAACGCGGGCUUCUUUUUUGACGAUCUCCUUGGCGAGUGCUCCCUCCACAACACACGCAAGCGCGUGCUGUUCCAUUCAUUGGAGAAUUUCUGGAAUGCGAUCUUAUCCAUGACGAAAAGUGGACUGGAAUUAGACUCCAGCUUCAAGACGGACUCUGGCAGUAUCGAUCCGUCUAUGCGCCCUUCGUGCAAAGCGAUGAAACGCUUUCCACUGGAAGCGCUCGCUCUGAUGACCGCAGUCCGAGCCUGAGGUCCAUUCCUGAGAGGGCAGAGGAAGCGGGAGCCUCUGGAAGCAUAGCAUACGAGCGGAAGCAUGCCGGUAUGGAAUAUCUUUUCACCGAUACCCAGAAAGCCGGGACUGCUUGGCUUUCGAACAUAAUCGAUACGCUGGCACGACAGGUUCAGUGAACUUGGUCCCAAAGCUUGAAUGCAUGUCGUCUAGGGUCAAUGCGGCAAACGUUUCCGCGUCGAUCCAGCCGCACCAAUUGCUACACCGCGGCGCUUUGCCUUGAAAGAAAAAGAUGGAAAACUUGAAGCUUGUGGGAUGUAAGCCUGCUCGCCAUAAAAAACGUAGGCGUGCUCUGCCUCUGGUUGAGCGCAUCUUAGCGAGG
RNA transcript from Cyanidioschyzon merolae strain 10D, 1510 nucleotides. RefSeq lists it as hypothetical. Lineage: Eukaryota; Rhodophyta; Bangiophyceae; Cyanidiales; Cyanidiaceae. The record is from RefSeq and is a predicted model, not a curated record. The transcript has a single exon.